AUGGAGGACGUGAAGCUGGAGUUCCCCUCGCUCCUGCAGUGCAAAGAUGACGCCGAGGAAUGGACAUACCCUAUGAGACGAGAGAUGCAGGAAAUUUUACCUGGAUUGUUUUUAGGUCCAUAUUCUUCUGCUAUGAAAAGCAAGCUACCUAUACUGCAGAAAUAUGGAAUAACCCAUAUAAUAUGCAUAAGACAAAAUAUUGAAGCAAACUUUGUUAAACCAAACUUUCAACAAUUAUUUAGAUAUUUAGUCUUGGAUAUUGCAGAUAAUCCAGUUGAAAAUAUAAUACGUUAUUUUCCCAUGACUAAAGAAUUUAUUGAUGGAAGCUUACAAACUGGAGGAAAAGUUCUUGUCCAUGGAAAUGCAGGAAUCUCCAGGAGAGAUGCAUUUGCUUAUGUUCAAGAAAGAAGAUUUUGUAUUAAUCCUAAUGCUGGAUUUGUUCAUCAACUUCAGAGCUGGAACAAAUAAUCCUAAAAUUUGUA
Leptonychotes weddellii (Weddell seal) is the source of this 482-nucleotide non-coding RNA. The record is from RefSeq and is a predicted model, not a curated record. NCBI's taxonomy places the organism in Eukaryota, Metazoa, Chordata, Mammalia, Carnivora, Phocidae.